GAUGAACGCUGGCGGCGUGCCUAACACAUGCAAGUCGAGCGGAGAUGAUUUGAGUACUUGUACAACGAUCAUCUUAGCGGCGGACGGGUGAGUAACACGUGAGUAAUCUGCCUUUAACUGGGGAAUAACACAGUGAAAAUUGUGCUAAUACCGCAUAAUGUUGCGAGGGGGCAUCCCUUUGCAACCAAAGGAGCAAUUCGGUUAAAGAUGAACUCGCGUCCGAUUAGGUAGUUGGUGAGGUAACGGCCCACCAAGCCUACGAUCGGUAGCCGAACUGAGAGGUUGAUCGGCCACAUUGGGACUGAGACACGGCCCAGACUCCUACGGGAGGCAG
RNAcentral lists this ribosomal RNA (334 nucleotides) under uncultured Bacillota bacterium. RNAcentral describes it as "bacterial SSU rRNA". It matches the Rfam family "Bacterial small subunit ribosomal RNA", at positions 28 to 351 of the family's 1533-position model. The record is from RNAcentral. Lineage: Bacteria; Bacillati; Bacillota.